This 467-nucleotide ribosomal RNA is filed under the name Cnemonyx difformis. Its description in RNAcentral is "partial 28S ribosomal RNA". The record is from RNAcentral. Lineage: Eukaryota; Metazoa; Arthropoda; Insecta; Coleoptera; Curculionidae.
GAGUACGUGAAACCGUUUAGGGGUAAACCUGAGAAACCCGAAAGGUCGAAGGGAGAAAUUCAUUCGCGUUUCGUCAUCGGCGGUCGGCUGUUGUGCGACGGAAGCGGUAUUAUUAUCGUUUUCGCACCUUCGAUCGAUCGAACCGCGGACGAACGCGUGCACUUUUCUCCUGGUAGGACGUCGCGAUCUGUCGGGCGUCGGUCUACGGCUAGCGGAAGGAGCCCGUUCGUCGUUUUUCGAAACGUGUACGAGCGGACCCGCUUGUUUCCCGACCGACUCGCUCGACGGUAUACGAAAGGUUCGGAGCCGCUAUUUAACGAGCGUUCGACUCGCGGCAAGCCCGUUUCGGUCGAUAGCGAUCGGACCUAGUGCCGAUUCUGUCGUCGAGCGGUUCGUUUGCCGCGAAGUUCUCGAACAGACUCCGCGUAUUUCUCGCAAGAGAAAUAUAACCGAUCUGCACGCAAGCU